UACGAAGGGGGCUAGCGUUGCUCGGAAUCACUGGGCGUAAAGCGCACGUAGGCGGACUCUUAAGUCGGUGGUGAAAUCCUGGAGCUCAACUCCAGAACUGCCCUUCGAUACUGGGAGUCUCGAGUUCGGGAGAGGGUGAGUGGAACUGCGAGUGUAGAGGUGAAAUUCGUAGAUAUUCGCAAGAACACCAGUGGCGAAGGCGGCUCACUGGCCCGAUACUGACGCUGAGGUGCGAAAGCGUGGGGAGCAAACAGGG
RNAcentral lists this ribosomal RNA (256 nucleotides) under uncultured bacterium. RNAcentral describes it as "partial 16S ribosomal RNA". It matches the Rfam family "Bacterial small subunit ribosomal RNA", at positions 524 to 777 of the family's 1533-position model. The record is from RNAcentral.